RNAcentral lists this ribosomal RNA (490 nucleotides) under uncultured bacterium. RNAcentral describes it as "partial 16S ribosomal RNA". It matches the Rfam family "Bacterial small subunit ribosomal RNA", at positions 30 to 507 of the family's 1533-position model. The record is from RNAcentral.
AUUGAACGCUGGCGGCAGGCCUAACACAUGCAAGUCGAACGGUAACAGGAAGACGCUUGCUUCUUUGCUGACGAGUGGCGGACGGGUGAGUAAUGUCUGGGAAACUGCCUGAUGGAGGGGGAUAACUACUGGAAACGGUAGCUAAUACCGCAUAACGUCGCAAGACCAAAAAGGGGGACCUUCGGGCCUCUUGCCAUCGGAUGUGCCCAGAUGGGAUUAGCUAGUAGGUGGGGUAACGGCUCACCUAGGCGACGAUCCCUAGCUGGUCUGAGAGGAUGACCAGCCACACUGGAACUGAGACACGGUCCAGACUCCUACGGGAGGCAGCAGUGGGGAAUAUUGCACAAUGGGCGCAAGCCUGAUGCAGCCAUGCCGCGUGUAUGAAGAAGGCCUUCGGGUUGUAAAGUACUUUCAGCGGGGAGGAAGGGAGUAAAGUUAAUACCGUUGCUCAUUGACGUUACCCGCAGAAGAAGCACCGGCUAACUCCGUG